This 65-nucleotide transfer RNA is filed under the name Amegilla calceifera. RNAcentral describes it as "tRNA-Ser". The record is from RNAcentral. Lineage: Eukaryota; Metazoa; Arthropoda; Insecta; Hymenoptera; Apidae.
AGCUAAUGAACUUGAAUAAGUGUAUAUUUUGAAAAUAUAAAAUAGAAUAAACUUUCUAUUAGCUU